AUGCAACGCGAAGAACCUUACCUGGUCUUGACAUCCGGAGACCCUUAGGAAACUAGGGGUGCUUCCACCUGGAAGAAUCUGGAGACAGGUGCUGCAUGGCUGUCGUCAGCUCGUGUCGUGAGAUGUUGGGUUAAGUCCCGCAACGAGCGCAACCCUUGCCUUUAGUUGCCAGCAGUUCGGCUGGGCACUCUAAAGGGACUGCCGGUGUUAAACCGGAGGAAGGUGGGGAUGACGUCAAGUCCUCACGGCCUUUAUGACCAGGGCUACACACGUACUACAAUGGCCGAUACAAAGGGCAGCGACACUGCGAGGUGAAGCCAAUCCCGUAAAAUCGGUCUCAGUCCGGAUUGGAGUCUGCAACUCGACUCCAUGAAGUUGGAAUCGCUAGUAAUCGUGGAUCAGCAUGCCACGGUGAAUACGUUCCCGGGCCUU
This 432-nucleotide ribosomal RNA is filed under the name uncultured Desulfobulbus sp. RNAcentral's name for it is "bacterial SSU rRNA". It matches the Rfam family "Bacterial small subunit ribosomal RNA", at positions 954 to 1382 of the family's 1533-position model. Lineage: Bacteria; Pseudomonadati; Thermodesulfobacteriota; Desulfobulbia; Desulfobulbales; Desulfobulbaceae. The record is from RNAcentral.